AGAGUUUGAUCAUGGCUCAGAAUCAACGCUGGCGGCGUGCCUCAGACAUGCAAGUCGAACGCGAAAGUCUCCUUCGGGGGAUAAGUAGAGUGGCGUCCGGGUGAGUAACACGUAGGUAAUCUACCUUCGGGUGGGGAAUAACCCAGGGAAACUUGGGCUAAUACCGCAUAAUGCAGCGGCACCACAUGGUGACAGUUGUUAAAGCGGGGGAUCUUCGGAUCUCGCGCCUGAAGAGGAGCCUGCGGCAGAUUAGCUAGUUGGUAAGGUAACGGCUUACCAAGGCGACGAUCUGUAGCCGGCCUGAGAGGGCGGUCGGCCACACUGACACUGACAUACGGGUCAGACUCCUACGGGAGGCAGCAGUCGGGAAUUUUGGGCAAUGGGCGAAAGCCUGACCCAGCAACGCCGCGUGAAGGAUGAAAUCCUUCGGGAUGUAAACUUCGCAAGAAUGGGAAGAAUUAGUAGGGGUUAAUACCCUCUAUGAUGACGGUACCAUUUGUAAGCUCCGGCUAACUCCGUGCCAGCAGCCGCGGUAAUACGGGGGGAGCAAGCGUUGUUCGGAUUUACUGGGCGUAAAGGGCGCGUAGGCGGUCAGCACAAGUCAGUUGUGAAAUCUCCGGGCUUAACUCGGAAAGGUCAACUGAUACUGUGCGACUAGAGUGCAGAAGGGGCAACUGGAAUUCUCGGUGUAGCGGUGAAAUGCGUAGAUAUCGAGAGGAACACCUGCGGCGAAGGCGGGUUGCUGGGCUGACACUGACGCUGAUGCGCGAAAGCCAGGGGAGCGGACGGGAUUAGAUACCCUAGUAGUCC
This 810-nucleotide ribosomal RNA is filed under the name uncultured bacterium. RNAcentral's name for it is "bacterial SSU rRNA". It matches the Rfam family "Bacterial small subunit ribosomal RNA", at positions 8 to 796 of the family's 1533-position model. The record is from RNAcentral.